This 892-nucleotide ribosomal RNA is filed under the name Mycobacterium tuberculosis. Its description in RNAcentral is "bacterial SSU rRNA". It matches the Rfam family "Bacterial small subunit ribosomal RNA", at positions 31 to 922 of the family's 1533-position model. Lineage: Bacteria; Bacillati; Actinomycetota; Actinomycetes; Mycobacteriales; Mycobacteriaceae. The record is from RNAcentral.
GAACGCUGGCGGCGUGCUUAACACAUGCAAGUCGAACGGAAAGGUCUCUUCGGAGAUACUCGAGUGGCGAACGGGUGAGUAACACGUGGGUGAUCUGCCCUGCACUUCGGGAUAAGCCUGGGAAACUGGGUCUAAUACCGGAUAGGACCACGGGAUGCAUGUCUUGUGGUGGAAAGCGCUUUAGCGGUGUGGGAUGAGCCCGCGGCCUAUCAGCUUGUUGGUGGGGUGACGGCCUACCAAGGCGACGACGGGUAGCCGGCCUGAGAGGGUGUCCGGCCACACUGGGACUGAGAUACGGCCCAGACUCCUACGGGAGGCAGCAGUGGGGAAUAUUGCACAAUGGGCGCAAGCCUGAUGCAGCGACGCCGCGUGGGGGAUGACGGCCUUCGGGUUGUAAACCUCUUUCACCAUCGACGAAGGUCCGGGUUCUCUCGGAUUGACGGUAGGUGGAGAAGAAGCACCGGCCAACUACGUGCCAGCAGCCGCGGUAAUACGUAGGGUGCGAGCGUUGUCCGGAAUUACUGGGCGUAAAGAGCUCGUAGGUGGUUUGUCGCGUUGUUCGUGAAAUCUCACGGCUUAACUGUGAGCGUGCGGGCGAUACGGGCAGACUAGAGUACUGCAGGGGAGACUGGAAUUCCUGGUGUAGCGGUGGAAUGCGCAGAUAUCAGGAGGAACACCGGUGGCGAAGGCGGGUCUCUGGGCAGUAACUGACGCUGAGGAGCGAAAGCGUGGGGAGCGAACAGGAUUAGAUACCCUGGUAGUCCACGCCGUAAACGGUGGGUACUAGGUGUGGGUUUCCUUCCUUGGGAUCCGUGCCGUAGCUAACGCAUUAAGUACCCCGCCUGGGGAGUACGGCCGCAAGGCUAAAACUCAAAGGAAUUGACGGGGGCCC